AUACGAAGGGUGCAAGCGUUAAUCGGAAUUACUGGGCGUAAAGCGCGCGUAGGUGGUUUUGUAAGUUGGAGGUGAAAGCCCCGGGCUCAACCUGGGAAUUGCCUCCAAAACUGCAUGACUAGAGUACGGUAGAGGGUAGUGGAAUUUCCUGUGUAGCGGUGAAAUGCGUAGAUAUAGGAAGGAACACCAGUGGCGAAGGCGACUACCUGGACUGAUACUGACACUGAGGUGCGAAAGCGUGGGGAGCAAACAGGAUUAGAUCCCCUGGUAGUCCACGCCGUAAACGAUGUCAACUAGCCGUUGGGAUCCUUGAGAUCUUAGUGGCGCAGCUAACGCAUUAAGUUGACCGCCUGGGGAGUACGGCCACAAGGUUAAAACUCAAAUGAAUUGACGGGG
This 396-nucleotide ribosomal RNA is filed under the name uncultured bacterium. RNAcentral describes it as "partial 16S ribosomal RNA". It matches the Rfam family "Bacterial small subunit ribosomal RNA", at positions 523 to 918 of the family's 1533-position model. The record is from RNAcentral.